ACAUGACUUGAGAAAAUUGAGAUAAUUAAAUUUACUCUGAUGUUUCAUAUAUUGAAGGAUCCUUGCAUUUUUUUCAGAGUUUAAAUUUAAUCCCACAUAGACUUCACUUUUAUUGUUAAAAUUAUGAAGUGCGUCCAACUCACCAGAAGUCUAAAAUAAUUAGUCCUGCUAAAUUGUUAAAUUCACACUUUGGAGAUUUGUAAAGA
This 206-nucleotide long non-coding RNA is filed under the name Homo sapiens (human). RNAcentral's name for it is "non-protein coding lnc-BCAS2-1:1". The record is from RNAcentral. Lineage: Eukaryota; Metazoa; Chordata; Mammalia; Primates; Hominidae.